RNAcentral lists this ribosomal RNA (473 nucleotides) under uncultured bacterium. RNAcentral's name for it is "bacterial SSU rRNA". It matches the Rfam family "Bacterial small subunit ribosomal RNA", at positions 328 to 793 of the family's 1533-position model. The record is from RNAcentral.
GCAGAGCACUCCUACGGGAGGCAGCAGUGGGGAAUAUUGCACAAUGGGGGAAGCCCUGAUGCAGCCAUGCCGCGUGUGUGAAGAAGGCCUUCGGGUUGUAAAGCACUUUCAGUAGGGAGGAAGGUAGUGUAGUUAACACCUGCACUAUUUGACGUUACCUACAGAAGAAGCACCGGCUAACUCCGUGCCAGCAGCCGCGGUAAUACGGAGGGUGCGAGCGUUAAUCGGAAUUACUGGGCGUAAAGCGCAUGCAGGCGGCCUGUUAAGUCAGAUGUGAAAGCCCCGGGGCUUAACCUCGGAAUUGCAUUUGAAACUGGCAGGCUAGAGUCUUGUAGAGGGGGUAGAAUUUCAGGUGUAGCGGUGAAAUGCGUAGAGAUCUGAAGGAAUACCAGUGGCGAAGGCGGCCCCCUGGACAAAGACUGACGCUCAGAUGCGAAAGCGUGGGGAGCAAACAGGAUUAGAUACCCUGGUAG